This 450-nucleotide ribosomal RNA is filed under the name uncultured bacterium. Its description in RNAcentral is "partial 16S ribosomal RNA". It matches the Rfam family "Bacterial small subunit ribosomal RNA", at positions 354 to 796 of the family's 1533-position model. The record is from RNAcentral.
GUGGGGAAUCUUCCGCAAUGGACGAAAGUCUGACGGAGCAACGCCGCGUGAGUGAUGAAGGUCUUCGGAUUGUAAAGCUCUGUUAAUCGGGACGAAAGAGCCUAGUGUGAAUAAUGCUAGGAAGUGACGGUACCGGAAUAGAAAGCCACGGCUAACUACGUGCCAGCAGCCGCGGUAAUACGUAGGUGGCAAGCGUUGUCCGGAAUUAUUGGGCGUAACGCGCGCGCAGGCGGAUCAGCCAGUCUGUCUUAAAAGUUCGGGGCUUAACCCCAUGAUGGGAUGGAAACUAAAGAUCUAGAGUAUCGGAGAGGAAAGUAGAAUUACUAGUGUAGCGGUGAAAUGCGUAGAUAUUAGGAAGAACACCAGUGGCGAAGGCGACUUUCUGGACGAAAACUGACGCUGAGGCGCGAAAGCCAGGGGAGCGAACGGGAUUAGAUACCCGUGUAGUCC